Molecule: long non-coding RNA, 317 nt
Filed under: Hordeum vulgare
Lineage: Eukaryota; Viridiplantae; Streptophyta; Magnoliopsida; Poales; Poaceae
Description: long non-coding RNA (HVUL_LNC010877)
Source: RNAcentral
GAUGCCAUGCAUGAUGCGAUGAUGCAAACUAAAUGACGAUGCAACAAACGAAAAAAUAACCACACGAGGAAACGGAAAGAAAGGGGGAUCUUCUGGGGCGUCGGCAUCGGGCCGUCACAACGCGUUUCUAUGCAUAUGGCAAGUCAAAUCACUUCAAACAUGCAUGCAAGUUGCAAAUUACGAAUCUACGCGAAAAACUAAUCAAGUUUCAUAUACAAUACGUCGCGAUCAGAUACUCGGUUUAAAAUCUACCGGCGUUUUAAAAUCUAGGAUUUUCUGAAAAUACUAAUUCACAUAAAAAACCUAAACUACUACGG